This is a long non-coding RNA of Spinacia oleracea (spinach), 897 nucleotides long. RefSeq lists it as uncharacterized. NCBI's taxonomy places the organism in Eukaryota, Viridiplantae, Streptophyta, Magnoliopsida, Caryophyllales, Amaranthaceae. The record is from RefSeq and is a predicted model, not a curated record. The transcript has 4 exons.
GCACUCAGUACUCCCUCUUUCUUCCUUCAGCUUUCCCUGCGUGAAGCCAUUUUCAUCGCCCGUCGCCGGUUGUACUUACAGAGUGAAGCCAUUUUCAUCUUCACUCUGAAAGUAAUGCAAAUCCUCCAAACCUCUCACUUCCUCCCACUCUCUCUCCUCCCUAAAACCCCUCUUAAACCCGCAAUUCCCAUUUUCCAUAACCCUAAUUUCCACCCCAGUUUCUCUCAACUCUCUUCUUCCUCUCCCCUUCUCUCAAUUCCCCCCAAAUCCUACGCUUCUGAUGAAUUCCCGGUCAACGAGACAUUCCUCGAGCAAUUCGGCCCAAAAGACACCGAAACCUAGGAAGAAGCACAAAAGCGGAACUGGGUCGAACAAGGUUGGGCGCCAUGGGAGGAGAUUUUGCUACCUUGCUCGACCAUCUGGGUGGAUUUUGCAUCUUCUAUUUUGCAGUUUUAGAUCUGGCUUUAGUCGAUGUAGAUGAGAUUCGGCAUUUGAAAUUCAAUCAGGAGUUCAUGAAGAACUACUUAGGCUCCUAACAGAUCUAUCCUCUAGAAUCGGAGUUUCAUUUCAUUUCAGGAUAUGUAUCUCAGUCCCUUUCAUAACGAACCGACAAGGACAACGCACACGGAUGGCCACUUAUUUUACUACCAAUAGCUUCAGUUUCUGAUAAGACUCCUUUCUUAAUAUAUCACCGUAUAAGGUCUACACUCCGAGGAAUGCGUCUUAUGCUAGUGAGGAAAUUGAUGUGGUUCGUGAGGAAUGGGCUAAGUUUUUUACCAGCAAGUAUUUAUAAUUGGCCUGAGCGCGCUUGAUCGAGUUGGUUUAGUUGUUAUAGAACAAUCUUUUAUAUUAAAAUGUAUGUGUUCGUUGAAAUUGGAACAUAUAUUUAAAUGUAAU